This 600-nucleotide ribosomal RNA is filed under the name Isaurus tuberculatus. RNAcentral's name for it is "partial 16S ribosomal RNA". It matches the Rfam family "Bacterial large subunit ribosomal RNA", at positions 1914 to 2517 of the family's 2925-position model. The record is from RNAcentral. Lineage: Eukaryota; Metazoa; Cnidaria; Anthozoa; Zoantharia; Zoanthidae.
UAAGGACAAUUGAAUGGCCGCGGUAACACUGACCGUGAUAAUGUAGCGUAAUCAAUAGCCAAUUAAUUGUUGGCCAGUAUGAAUGGCGCCACGAAGGCCCCACUGUCUUAAGGAAAUUCCCAGUGAAAUUGAAUUCGUAGUGAAGAUGCUACGUGCAAUUUGUUAGACGAAAAGACCCCGUUGAGCUUUACUGGAGCACUUACAUGGCCCUGGCCUUCCCAUGCUUGGGAAUCGGCCGAAUUUAAAUGGGCGGCUUAGAUUAUGUGGCAGCCCCCCGCUGGGGCAAAUGAAACCCCACUCCCCCAUGUCAAAGGGGCUAACCCCCCCCCUUGGGGGGACAGUGUAAGUAGGACAGUUUGGUUGGGGCGACCGCCUUUUAAAGAGUAACGAAGGUGCGCUUAAGGUGCGCAAUUAAUGACUGAAGCCUGACUGCGAGGGGGACACCCCGAGCAGACACCCCAAAGCCCGCCCGAAGGGCGGCGGUGGGGUGGGCCAUAGUGACCCGUUAAUUUAGAGUGGAAUASUUAACGAUCAACGAAUAAAAGUUACCACGGGGAUAACAGCGUAAUAUCGUUAGAGAGUUCACAUCGACGACGAUGU